GUCUCAGAUAGCUUAACUGUCCGAGCCCUUGGUGCGUAACCAAAAGAUCCGGGUUCGAUUCCCGGUCCGGGCU
Molecule: transfer RNA, 73 nt
Filed under: Cotesia glomerata
Lineage: Eukaryota; Metazoa; Arthropoda; Insecta; Hymenoptera; Braconidae
Description: tRNA-Thr
Rfam family: tRNA
About the family: Transfer RNA (tRNA) molecules are approximately 80 nucleotides in length.
Source: RNAcentral